AUCUCAUGUUUCUAACCAAGCCUUCUUUCUGAUGAGAUGUGGAACGAGAAAGAAUAGCUGUGAAGCUGAAUAUGAUAGAAACACUUAAGUACAGCUGAAUGGAUAUUCUAACUCCAGCUAUAACCUGCCAAAGUAAAGCAAGAUCCAGAUAUGUUAUUUUUGAAAUGAAAAAAAGUAUCCUGAUUAAAUUGCAAACCAGAAUGCAUUGACAGAGCAAUUUUACACAUCAAGUGUGCAAAUCAAACUAUAAUGACCACUACUCACAUAUCAUUUGUGUGCCAAUCCCAUAUUUACAAAAGGCUUGUAGGUGGAAAGGGCUCUAUAAUCCAAAAUUGUCACUGUCACUGCACAAAAAAUGCAGACCCACAGAACAAGAGAAGAAACACAGGGAUAUAUGUGAAAGAGUAUAAGACACACCGGACUAUAAGAUGCACCUACCUUCUUUGGUGACAAAAAGAAGAAAAAGAAAUCUGCCUCUGCCUCUGAACAAUUUUGCCUCAUUGCAGCAAACAGCAAACAGGAAAUAUAAUAUUCCGCCUUUUUAAUAUUUCCUUGAACAUUCUUCGAAGAGGGCUGGGUGCUAUCUUUCUUCACUGAGAUGCCCAUCAAUCAUGAAAUAUGAAUUGUACU
This is a non-coding RNA of Pantherophis guttatus, 630 nucleotides long. Lineage: Eukaryota; Metazoa; Chordata; Lepidosauria; Squamata; Colubridae. The record is from RefSeq and is a predicted model, not a curated record.